GACGAACGCUGGCGGCGUGCUUAACACAUGCAAGUCGAGCGGUAAGGCCCUUUCGGGGGUACACGAGCGGCGAACGGGUGAGUAACACGUGGGUGACCUGCCCUCAGCUCUGGGAUAAGCCCGGGGAAACUGGGUCUAAUACUGGAUAUGACUCCAAUGACGCAUGUUGUGGGGUGGAAAGCCUUGUGCGGCGUGAGGAUGGGCCCGCGGCCUAUCAGCUUGUUGGNGGGGUGAUGGCCUACCAAGGCGACGACGGGUAGCCGGCCUGAGAGGGCGACCGGCCACACUGGGACUGAGACACGGGCCCAGACUCCUACGGGAGGCAGCAGUGGGGAAUCUUGCGCAAUGGGCGAAAGCCUGACGCAGCGACGCCGCGUGAGGGAUG
RNAcentral lists this ribosomal RNA (385 nucleotides) under uncultured bacterium. RNAcentral's name for it is "bacterial SSU rRNA". It matches the Rfam family "Bacterial small subunit ribosomal RNA", at positions 28 to 410 of the family's 1533-position model. The record is from RNAcentral.